GUUUUUAUUCUCUUACUACUAGAUAUAGUGGCUAUGCUUAUGGAGUAGAUUCAAAUUGUCAUGAUAUGAAGAGAGAGGGCUUUUCAUGUUCUCUCUCUUACAAAAUGGCUAGACAUACCAUC
Small nucleolar RNA from Grammomys surdaster, 122 nucleotides. RefSeq annotates it as small nucleolar RNA SNORA29. The record is from RefSeq and is a predicted model, not a curated record. Lineage: Eukaryota; Metazoa; Chordata; Mammalia; Rodentia; Muridae. The transcript has a single exon.